This 464-nucleotide ribosomal RNA is filed under the name Vreelandella stevensii. RNAcentral's name for it is "partial 16S ribosomal RNA". It matches the Rfam family "Bacterial small subunit ribosomal RNA", at positions 338 to 794 of the family's 1533-position model. The record is from RNAcentral. Lineage: Bacteria; Pseudomonadati; Pseudomonadota; Gammaproteobacteria; Oceanospirillales; Halomonadaceae.
CCUACGGGGCGCAGCAGUGGGGAAUAUUGGACAAUGGGCGAAAGCCUGAUCCAGCCAUGCCGCGUGUGUGAAGAAGGCCUUCGGGUUGUAAAGCACUUUCAGUGGGGAAGAAAGCCUUGGGGCUAAUACCCUCGAGGAAGGACAUCACCCACAGAAGAAGCACCGGCUAACUCCGUGCCAGCAGCCGCGGUAAUACGGAGGGUGCGAGCGUUAAUCGGAAUUACUGGGCGUAAAGCGCGCGUAGGCGGUCUGAUAAGCCGGUUGUGAAAGCCCCGGGCUCAACCUGGGAACGGCAUCCGGAACUGUCAGGCUAGAGUGCAGGAGAGGAAGGUAGAAUUCCCGGUGUAGCGGUGAAAUGCGUAGAGAUCGGGAGGAAUACCAGUGGCGAAGGCGGCCUUCUGGACUGACACUGACGCUGAGGUGCGAAAGCGUGGGUAGCAAACAGGAUUAGAUACCCUAGUAGC